GAGUCGAUUAAUCUCUUUCAUUACCGAAUAUUCCCUACCUUUCCUCACCAUCACAUUCUUCCCACACAAAUUCCCGCAAAUCAACCAAAUUCACUCAAUCAAUAUCUCUAAUCUAUCUCUCUCUCUCUUUAUCUUUUGUUUUGUUUUCUUCACCUUCUACAUCAAACAUCUUCUGUUGUUUGGCAUAACUAAAUCCUUGCCGAGAAAAAUGAUAUCCCAACGGCAACUAGGUGCGAAGGUCCUAGUCUCCUCUGACAAUCCCAAUGUUUUGAUUUUUGGAUUAUUAUAGUUUGUGAAACCCUUGAUGAUAUCAAGAUGCAUCUCUCUGACACCGAGUACGACCCUUAUCUCCAAAACGUAAAUAAUGUAGGUACAAUAAAUAAAAACGAUAGAAUUUGGGAGGUUCCUGUUGAAGAGUUUGAAAUUAUGAUUGAUGUUAAUUUAAAAGGGAUUGUAAAUGUGUUACGCCAUUUUAUCUCGUUGAUGCUUCCAAAAAGUCGAAGGGUUACUGUUAAUAUUUCUUCUGGAUACGGGAAGAUAUGGUGCUGCUUUGGUUGUACCAUACUGUGCAUCAAAAUGGGCAGUUGAAGGUUUAAACAGAGCAUUAACAAAUGAGAUGCCUUGUGGAUUUGCUGUUGUAGCACUUAGUCUUGGUGCGAUAAAUACCGAGAUGCUCCAAUCUUGCUUCGAAAAUUCAGCCUUGGGAUAUCAGACACCUGAUGCAUCCUUCUUCACCAUAGCUGAAAUUUUCAAGCUCUCCACAGCUAGGGUUUGUUCAACUUUCAAGUUUGAUUUGCUCAUAAAGCUUGCGAAGGUUGGAGGAUUCGGUCAGAGUAAGAUCACACUAUCCACAAAUCUCCUUUUGGUAUAGCUAAAUGAUUCAUUUUGGUAUAGUGGCAUGUAUAAGCUAUUUGGAAUAGAUGAAGGCUUGUAAGUAAUAUUUUGUGACUUAACCAUUAGAAUGGCAAAGGAUGUUCAAGUGGUACAUGUAUGAUGUUAAUGUACGUCCAAAUUCUUAAGUGUCAAGUAUGGUUGAUGAUACAUUUUGUAAAUAGGCAUUGAAAUUGUCGAACAUUGGUUUAAUUUUAUAUGCAUAUGAUGAUGUCUUUCAUGGAUGUGGAAAUUGCAUGGUAUGAGUUAAUAAGUAUGUAAAUGAUGUGUGGAUCCCUUGGUUGUGGCUGAAUUGGUUGUAUGUUUAUACUUGGAAUGGUAUUACAUGUUGUUGUAAAGGUUGUGCAUGGAAGGGUGGCAAAAAGGCUUGGUAAAUAGCCUUAUUUUUGUCCACAUGGGUAGAUACACGGGCACGUGUCUAGGCCGUGUGUGACACAUGACUUGCCUCAUGAGUGUAUGUUCUGGUCGUGUGUCCCCUACACCUUAAUUGUUGCAAAAUGGAAUGCUCAGUAUCGAGCACACAGGCAAAGACACGGGCAUGUGUCUCAGUCGUGUGGAUGGCACGACCUUGAACACGGGCGUGUGCCCUGGCCAUGUAAAGUCUGAACUAUUUUAUGAAAAAUUCUGAAAAUUAUUCGACCACACGGCCUAAGCACACGGGCAUGUGCCUUGGCCGUGUGACUUCAAUUUGUUAAUGACAUCAUAAACAGAGAGUUACACGGGUUGGGGACACGGGCGUGUGUGACCACACGGCCUGCCUACACAGGGGUGUCCCAAGCCACACGGGUGUGUGACCCCUAUUUAGUGAAAAUUUUCUAAGCGUUGUAAAAUUUUCUAAAGUUCUCGGUUUAGUCCCGAACCACUUUCAAUGUAUGUUUUGAGUCUCGUAGGCUCAUUUUAGGGACAAAAUGAAUGUUUAUGGAAAGUUUUAAAUUUGAUUGGAAAUUCGUGUCUCGAUUUUGAAUGUUUGUUUAAAUUUAAGUCCGUUAAUGCCUCGUGCCCUAUUCCAGUGUCGAAUACGAGUAAGGGGUGUUACAGUAAGGUCUUUUUUUGGCUGAAAAUUAUAAGUGUUUACUUGCAACGACCCAUUUAGUAUUGCUAGUACAUCGAAGGUCAAUUUGUAUCAAACUUUUUCGUAACUUUGAAGCUAGUUACUUCGAGUACGGAUAAUUGUAUGAUAAAAUAUUAUGUUGAAUUCUGAUACUUUUCUAGAUCUUGUUUAUUUACUUGUUGUUGUCUUUAAUCAUAUGGUCAUAGUUUGAUGCUAUGGAAUUUAUCUCUUGCAUUAGAGAACCUUAUUUUGGAAUGCCAGUUAUUGAAAGAAACCCAUACUGUGACCUAUAAUUGUGUCAUUGACUAUAUUACUCGUAUACUUAUGGUACAGAUAUGUCAAAAUUUUUUUUAAUUUUUCAAUGUAUUUGGAAGAUCUUUGAAUUGUUAUAUUUUUAUAUUCAUGUUCAAAUACUUGCCGGAUAUAACACGGUUAUUCAAUUAAAAAUAAGGAGGGAAAGCACUGUUUGUAUUAUCUAGCGUGUUACUUUGCUUUUUCGAACCAAUUAUAAUGUUUUAAGGUACCAUUGGGUGUUAUCUAGCGUGUUACUCUGUUGUAAACUCAUUCUCUCUGGCUUGACUAUGCUAAUUUACUUUAGGUAUUAGGUUUGUUUGAAUGUUUUAUCUGAAAUGCUAUUUUAUGUUAAACAAUUAUCCCUAUGGCUAUAAGGAACUUGUUGUGUGUGGGGAUAUUAACUAGGUUUGUUUCACAUAUUAUUCUUAGAUGAAGCUACUUUGAGUUCUUAGUCUUUUGCUUCAUUUGUUGUCUAGGUCCAUGUUGCGAUGGAAAAAUAUCCUCCCUACCUAUCAACUUUCUCCAAACUAUCUUAUGAAGAGAGCCAAAUGCUUGACAAGGAGGAAGUGAAAAGGCUUUGCCUAGCUUUUGAGCAACAAGUUUAUAUUUUAUUUCUCAAGCAUGAAAAUAUCUUUGUUAAUAACAAUAAUCAAAGAAAAGCACAACAAUGACAUAUGAUUGAUUUUUUUCUUUAUAUUUCCUAUUUUCUUUAUCAAAUAAAUAAUGCAUCAAAUUUCACUUGUAGUUCCAUUAUAGUGUUUUCUUUGUAUACACGAGAUUAAAAGAGCAAAAGAUCAGGAACCUGAUGUGGAUUUUUGAA
Molecule: long non-coding RNA, 3056 nt
Organism: Gossypium arboreum
Lineage: Eukaryota; Viridiplantae; Streptophyta; Magnoliopsida; Malvales; Malvaceae
Exons: 5
Source: RefSeq, a predicted model, not a curated record